RNAcentral lists this ribosomal RNA (254 nucleotides) under uncultured bacterium. RNAcentral describes it as "partial 16S ribosomal RNA". It matches the Rfam family "Bacterial small subunit ribosomal RNA", at positions 793 to 1055 of the family's 1533-position model. The record is from RNAcentral.
GUCAACGCCGUAAACGAUGGAUACUAGCUGUUGGGGCAACUUCAGUGGCUAAGCGAAAGUGAUAAGUAUCCCACCUGGGGAGUACGUUCGCAAGAAUGAAACUCAAAGGAAUUGACGGGGCCCGCACAAGCGGUGGAGCAUGUGGUUUAAUUCGAUGAUACGCGAGGAACCUUACCAAGGCUUAAAUGUAGUCUGACCGAUUUUGGAAACAGAUCUUUCGCAAGACAGAUUACAAGGUGCUGCAUGGUUGUCGU